RNAcentral lists this ribosomal RNA (253 nucleotides) under uncultured bacterium. RNAcentral describes it as "partial 16S ribosomal RNA". It matches the Rfam family "Bacterial small subunit ribosomal RNA", at positions 524 to 776 of the family's 1533-position model. The record is from RNAcentral.
UACGUAGGGGGCAAGCGUUGUCCGGAAUCAUUGGGCGUAAAGAGCGUGUAGGCGGCUCGAUAAGUCUGCUGUGAAAGUCCAGGGCUCAACCCUGGAAGGCCGGUGGAAACUGUCGGGCUAGAGUCCGGAAGAGGCGAGUGGAAUUCCCGGUGUAGCGGUGAAAUGCGCAGAUAUCGGGAGGAACACCAAUGGCGAAGGCAGCUCGCUGGGACGGUACUGACGCUGAGGUGCGAAAGCGUGGGGAGCAAACAGG